RNAcentral lists this transfer RNA (75 nucleotides) under Minisyncoccota bacterium. RNAcentral's name for it is "tRNA-Asn". It matches the Rfam family "tRNA". From Rfam's summary of the family: Transfer RNA (tRNA) molecules are approximately 80 nucleotides in length. Their secondary structure includes four short double-helical elements and three loops (D, anti-codon, and T loops). The record is from RNAcentral. Lineage: Bacteria; Bacillati; Minisyncoccota.
UCCGCUCGGGCCGCAUGGUGUGGCAGCAGACUGUUAAUCUGUGAUAGCUUGGUUCGAUUCCAAGGAGCGGAGCCA